RNAcentral lists this ribosomal RNA (301 nucleotides) under uncultured bacterium. Its description in RNAcentral is "partial 16S ribosomal RNA". It matches the Rfam family "Bacterial small subunit ribosomal RNA", at positions 509 to 807 of the family's 1533-position model. The record is from RNAcentral.
CAGUCGCCGCGGGAAUACGGAGGAUCCAAGCGUUAUCCGGAUUUAUUGGGUUUAAAGGGUGCGUAGGCGGCCUAUUAAGUCAGGGGUGAAAGACGGUAGCUCAACUAUCGCAGUGCCUUUGAUACUGAUAGGCUUGAAUGUACUUGAAGUGGGCGGAAUGUGACAAGUAGCGGUGAAAUGCAUAGAUAUGUCACAGAACACCGAUUGCGAAGGCAGCUCACUAAAGUAUGAUUGACGCUGAGGCACGAAAGCGUGGGGAUCAAACAGGAUUAGAUACCCGUGUAGUCCCUGUCUCUUAUAC